CAGAUCAGGAUGCAGCCAAUCUUUCUAAUAACUCCAGGAAAGAUCAUUGGACUCCUGAUGAUUCGGAGAAAUUUGAGUUUGAGAAUCAACUCAGAAAGCCGCAAAGUGCACAUGAGGUUGUGUCAAGUUUUGAUAGAGAAACUUCCUCUGAUUCACUGUCCACUGAACAUAAAGAACAAGUUUCUUUGAGGCGCCGUUUGUCCUCCCCAUGGCGAUUGAAGGAGUCACAUCCAACUGAUGGGCCAAUAAUUUCUGGGACUUCUAUUAUUAAUGCAGGUCAGAAAGAGGGCUAUUCUGCCACUUUUGGGGGGUUGCCUAUGAAUUCGUAUUCCUCUUUGCCCAAAGUGGCCAUUCGACAGCAUACUGGAACCUCAGGCUCUGGGUUAUCAGCCAACACAUCACUGGGGUCGGGGCAACAAGGGUUUCAGUCUAUAGGAGCAGCAUCACCAUCUAGACAGCUGCCCAUGCGUCGACAUCCACCCUCACUCUCUUUUCCAGCACGUUCACGCCAACAAUUGCAAAGCUCUGUGGAGCAAGACCUUUCUCGUCCUGAUUAUAAGGCACAGCAAUUGUCAGGGAAUUUGCUACAUUCGAAUGUUCAGCUUGGUAACUUGCAAAAACU
Molecule: unclassified non-coding RNA, 622 nt
Filed under: Hevea brasiliensis (rubber tree)
Lineage: Eukaryota; Viridiplantae; Streptophyta; Magnoliopsida; Malpighiales; Euphorbiaceae
Source: RNAcentral